Molecule: ribosomal RNA, 254 nt
Filed under: uncultured bacterium
Lineage: Bacteria
Description: partial 16S ribosomal RNA
Rfam family: Bacterial small subunit ribosomal RNA
Source: RNAcentral
UACAGAGGGUGCGAGCGUUGUUCGGAAUUACUGGGCGUAAAGGGCUCGUAGGCGGCCAACUAAGUCAUACGUGAAAUCCCUCAGCUUAACUGGGGAACUGCGUCUGAUACUGGAUGGCUUGAGUUUGGGAGAGGGAUGCGGAAUUCCAGGUGUAGCGGUGAAAUGCGUAGAUAUCUGGAGGAACACCGGUGGCGAAGGCGGCAUCCUGGACCAACACUGACGCUGAGUGAGCGAAAGCCAGGGGAGCAAACGGG